This 819-nucleotide ribosomal RNA is filed under the name Streptomyces sp. RNAcentral's name for it is "bacterial SSU rRNA". It matches the Rfam family "Bacterial small subunit ribosomal RNA", at positions 12 to 845 of the family's 1533-position model. The record is from RNAcentral. Lineage: Bacteria; Bacillati; Actinomycetota; Actinomycetes; Kitasatosporales; Streptomycetaceae.
UUUGAUUCCUGGCUCAGGACGAACGCUGGCGGCGUGCUUAACACAUGCAAGUCGAACGAUGAAGCCCUUCGGGGUGGAUUAGUGGCGAACGGGUGAGUAACACGUGGGCAAUCUGCCCUUCACUCUGGGACAAGCCCUGGAAACGGGGUCUAAUACCGGAUAACACUUCCUGCCGCAUGGUGGGGGGUUAAAAGCUCCGGCGGUGAAGGAUGAGCCCGCGGCCUAUCAGCUUGUUGGUGGGGUGAUGGCCUACCAAGGCGACGACGGGUAGCCGGCCUGAGAGGGCGACCGGCCACACUGGGACUGAGACACGGCCCAGACUCCUACGGGAGGCAGCAGUGGGGAAUAUUGCACAAUGGGCGAAAGCCUGAUGCAGCGACGCCGCGUGAGGGAUGACGGCCUUCGGGUUGUAAACCUCUUUCAGCAGGGAAGAAGCGAAAGUGACGGUACCUGCAGAAGAAGCGCCGGCUAACUACGUGCCAGCAGCCGCGGUAAUACGUAGGGCGCAAGCGUUGUCCGGAAUUAUUGGGCGUAAAGAGCUCGUAGGCGGCUUGUCACGUCGGAUGUGAAAGCCCGGGGCUUAACCCCGGGUCUGCAUUCGAUACGGGCUAGCUAGAGUGUGGUAGGGGAGAUCGGAAUUCCUGGUGUAGCGGUGAAAUGCGCAGAUAUCAGGAGGAACACCGGUGGCGAAGGCGGAUCUCUGGGCCAUUACUGACGCUGAGGAGCGAAAGCGUGGGGAGCGAACAGGAUUAGAUACCCUGGUAGUCCACGCCGUAAACGUUGGGAACUAGGUGUUGGCGACAUUCCACGUCGUCGGUG